CCCCUAGAUGUUCUGGGCCGCACGCGCGCUACACUGAACAGUUCAACAAGUCUUAACCUUGGCCGAUAGGUCUGGGUAAUCUUUGAACGCUGUUCGUGAUUGGGAUAGACCUUUGCAAUUAUGGGUCUUCAACGAGGAAUUCCUAGUAAACGCAAGUCAUCAGCUUGCAUUGAUUACGUCCCUGCCCUUUGUACACACCGCCCGUCGCACCUACCGAUUGAAUGGUCCGGUGAAAUCUUGGGAUUUUGUUUUGUUUGCAUUUAUUUGUAUCGAGACGAGAGAACUUGAGUAAACCUUACCAUUUAGAGGAAGGUGAAGUCGUANCA
This 326-nucleotide ribosomal RNA is filed under the name uncultured eukaryote. Its description in RNAcentral is "partial 18S ribosomal RNA". It matches the Rfam family "Eukaryotic small subunit ribosomal RNA", at positions 1470 to 1796 of the family's 1831-position model. The record is from RNAcentral.